AGUGAACGCUGGCGGUAGGCCUAACACAUGCAAGUCGAACGGCCGCACAGUAAGCGCUUGCUCUUACGGGUGGCGAGUGGCGGACGGGUGAGGCAUACAUCGGAUUCUACUUUUUCGUGGGGGCUAACGUAGGGAAACUUCCGCUAAUACCGCAUACGCCCUACGGGUGACAGCAGGGGAUCUUCGGACCUUGCGCGAUUGAAUGAGCCGAUGUCGGCUUAGCUGGUUGGCGGGGUAAAGGCCCACCAAGGCGACGAUCCGUAGCUGGUCUGAGAGGAUGAUCAGCAACACUGGAGCUAGGACACGGACCAGACCCCGACGGGAGGCAGCAGUGGGGAAUAUAGGAGAAUGAGCGCAAGCCUGAUCCAGCCAUACCGCGUGGGUGAAGAAGGCCUUCGGGUUGUAAAGCCCGUUUGUUGUGAAAGAAAAGCAGCAGGUUAAUACCCCGCUGUUCGGACGGAACCCAAAGAAUAAGCACCGGCAAACUUCGG
Molecule: ribosomal RNA, 491 nt
Filed under: uncultured bacterium
Lineage: Bacteria
Description: partial 16S ribosomal RNA
Rfam family: Bacterial small subunit ribosomal RNA
Source: RNAcentral